Solanum pennellii is the source of this 360-nucleotide long non-coding RNA. RefSeq lists it as uncharacterized. NCBI's taxonomy places the organism in Eukaryota, Viridiplantae, Streptophyta, Magnoliopsida, Solanales, Solanaceae. The transcript has 3 exons. The record is from RefSeq and is a predicted model, not a curated record.
UAAUGUACUACACAAUACUCUGCUCUUAUCUUCUUCAUUUAAGUUUAUGCUCCACUGUCUGUGCACACCAAAGUUCACUUCUUUCUCUUCAGCAUUCUUCAGUGGGCUGUUAUGAUUCUGCAGACAACACGAGUUCGAUCUCCUACUCUUGUAGAUGAGUCUUAUAGUGUCUACAUCGAAAAUAGUACGAUGAAUCUUUCCAAUCGGGUGAAAAAAUGAUUCCUCAAAGUUACAGAUCAAGAUGAAACAUAGAGAAGGCUUGGCCAAUUACCUAGUGGAUGUGGAGAGGUAACAUAAAGAAGAGAGAUUGACCAGUGUGUGUAACUACUCCGAAAGUAUAAGAGACAGAGACAUAAAUGC